UAAUACAGGGGGGGCGAGCGUUGUUCGGAAUUACUGGGCGUAAAGGGCGCGUAGGCGGCUUAUUUAGUCGGACGUGAAAUCCCCGAGCUUAACUCGGGAACUGCGUCCGAUACUGGUAGGCUUGAAUCCGGGAGAGGGAUGUGGAAUUCCAGGUGUAGCGGUGAAAUGCGUAGAUAUCUGGGGGAACACCGGUGGCGAAGGCGACAUCCUGGACCGGUAUUGACGCUGAGGCGCGAAAGCCAGGGUAGCAAACGGGAUUAGAUACCCCGGUAGUCCUGGCCCUAAACGAUGAAUGCUUGGUGUAGUGGGUAUCGAUCCCUACUGUGCCGACGCUAACGCAUUAGGCAUUCCGCCUGGGGAGUACGGUCGCAAGGCUG
RNAcentral lists this ribosomal RNA (377 nucleotides) under uncultured Acidobacteriota bacterium. RNAcentral describes it as "bacterial SSU rRNA". It matches the Rfam family "Bacterial small subunit ribosomal RNA", at positions 521 to 896 of the family's 1533-position model. Lineage: Bacteria; Pseudomonadati; Acidobacteriota. The record is from RNAcentral.